This 642-nucleotide ribosomal RNA is filed under the name uncultured Bacteroidales bacterium. RNAcentral's name for it is "bacterial SSU rRNA". It matches the Rfam family "Bacterial small subunit ribosomal RNA", at positions 68 to 699 of the family's 1533-position model. Lineage: Bacteria; Pseudomonadati; Bacteroidota; Bacteroidia; Bacteroidales. The record is from RNAcentral.
GGCAGCAUGGUCUUAGCUUGCUAAGGCCGAUGGCGACCGGCGCACGGGUGAGUAACACGUAUCCAACCUGCCGUCUACUCUUGGACAGCCUUCUGAAAGGAAGAUUAAUACAAGAUGGCAUCAUGAGUCCGCAUGUUCACAUGAUUAAAGGUAUUCCGGUAGACGAUGGGGAUGCGUUCCAUUAGAUAGUAGGCGGGGUAACGGCCCACCUAGUCUUCGAUGGAUAGGGGUUCUGAGAGGAAGGUCCCCCACAUUGGAACUGAGACACGGUCCAAACUCCUACGGGAGGCAGCAGUGAGGAAUAUUGGUCAAUGGGCGAGAGCCUGAACCAGCCAAGUAGCGUGAAGGAUGACUGCCCUAUGGGUUGUAAACUUCUUUUAUAAAGGAAUAAAGUCGGGUAUGGAUACCCGUUUGCAUGUACUUUAUGAAUAAGGAUCGGCUAACUCCGUGCCAGCAGCCGCGGUAAUACGGAGGAUCCGAGCGUUAUCCGGAUUUAUUGGGUUUAAAGGGAGCGUAGAUGGAUGUUUAAGUCAGUUGUGAAAGUUUGCGGCUCAACCGUAAAAUUGCAGUUGAUACUGGAUAUCUUGAGUGCAGUUGAGGCAGGCGGAAUUCGUGGUGUAGCGGUGAAAUGCUUAGAUACCA